Molecule: transfer RNA, 73 nt
Filed under: Oligoflexia bacterium
Lineage: Bacteria; Pseudomonadati; Bdellovibrionota; Oligoflexia
Description: tRNA-Ala
Rfam family: tRNA
About the family: Transfer RNA (tRNA) molecules are approximately 80 nucleotides in length. Their secondary structure includes four short double-helical elements and three loops (D, anti-codon, and T loops). Further hydrogen bonds mediate the characteristic L-shaped molecular structure. tRNAs have two regions of fundamental functional importance: the anti-codon, which is responsible for specific mRNA codon recognition, and the 3' end, to which the tRNAs corresponding amino acid is attached (by aminoacyl-tRNA synthetases). tRNAs cope with the degeneracy of the genetic code in two manners: having more than one tRNA (with a specific anti-codon) for a particular amino acid; and 'wobble' base-pairing, i.e. permitting non-standard base-pairing at the 3rd anti-codon position.
Source: RNAcentral
GGGGUUGUAGCUCAGUUGGGAGAGCACCGGCUUUGCAAGCCGGGGGUCAGGGGUUCGAGUCCCCUCAGCUCCA